Molecule: ribosomal RNA, 551 nt
Filed under: uncultured bacterium
Lineage: Bacteria
Description: partial 16S ribosomal RNA
Rfam family: Bacterial small subunit ribosomal RNA
Source: RNAcentral
UGGGGAAUUUUGGACAAUGGGCGAAAGCCUGAUCCAGCAAUGCCGCGUGUGCUGAAGAAGGCCUUCGGGUUGUAAAGCACUUUUGUCCGGAAAGAAAUCCUUGGCUCUAAUACAGUCGGGGGAUGACGGUACCGGAAGAAUAAGCACCGGCUAACUACGUGCCAGCAGCCGCGGUAAUACGUAGGGUGCAAGCGUUAAUCGGAAUUACUGGGCGUAAAGCGUGCGCAGGCGGUUUGCUAAGACCGAUGUGAAAUCCCCGGGCUCAACCUGGGAACUGCAUUGGUGACUGGCAGGCUAGAGUAUGGCAGAGGGGGGUAGAAUUCCACGUGUAGCAGUGAAAUGCGUAGAGAUGUGGAGGAAUACCGAUGGCGAAGGCAGCCCCUGGCCAAGUACUGACGCUCAUGCACGAAAAGCGUGGGGGAGCAAAACAGGAUUAGAUACCCUGGUAGUCCACGCCCUAAAACGAUGUCAACUAGUUGUUGGGGAUUCAUUUCCUUAGUAACGUAGCUAACGCGUGAAGUUGACCGCCUGGGGAGUACGGUCGCAAGAUU